AUAGAAAGAAUCAUCAAUUCGCUACAUAAUUACGUAUUGAUUGUAAAUAGCUAAUAAAUUAAAAAAGUAAUAACCAAUUUUAUAUUUCUUUCCAUAAAUAAUAUUAAUCAGCAUCUUCUAUUCUUGUCAUAUAUGAAGAAUAUUGUCAGCAACUAUGUGAGAUUUAUGUUCCUUUUGAAACCACUUAUUACCAUAAGAGCUGCUUUAAACGUGCAAGUGGGAAAGUACUAAAUGCCCUUUUCGUUCCACAGUGCAAGUUAUUGCGAUUUUCCUUAUAUUGAAGCGCAAUAUCAUUAUCACGUUCAUUCAUUGCGCAGGAUCAUUCAAAUUCUGCUAAGGGAUUUCUUAUCAAGAUAGCGGAGUUCAUUCGACAACAAAAGAUGACAAGGAACAAGGAAAACUGCAAUGAGUCCUUUCCAAUAAAAUUAAAACAAUACUACCUACAUGAUUUUAAUGAAUGACGAGAUAAAUUAGUACAACAAUAGAUACUUACUCUGGUGAGUUAUGCCUGAGUGCAGUAUUUCUUGCAUUUGACACCACUUCUGUAUCAUUUAUCUGCAGCGAAGCAAACGUGAAACACUUGAUUCAAAAUAUUUCAGAAAAAUCAACCAAGAUGGUAGAUCAAAAGUUCGCCUGUGUCACAUUAAUUUUAUUGGUUGUCGGUAGCUGUGUGAAUUCGCUGCCGAACGCGAGUGAGAAGAACGCGAGUGCAGAGACAACAAAAGGGCCUAUGUCCACCACUACCACCUCUGCACCAGUGGGCAAUGUCGUGGUGGUACCACCAAACUGCCCAAAAGGACAGGAGAUGUCUGCUGACGGGGUCUGUCGAGAAGUCUUUUGAACUCUAAAACCUGCAGGAAAUAUGCAAGAAACUCGGUACCCAUUCAUAUUCAAAUUCAGCGAUACCAACUUCGAGAUAAUUAAUGAGUUAUACUAAAACAAUGCAUUAUGUCAUUCCUCCACUUUUAUCAUACUAAUAAAUUAUAAGAAGG
Molecule: long non-coding RNA, 992 nt
Organism: Helicoverpa zea (corn earworm)
Lineage: Eukaryota; Metazoa; Arthropoda; Insecta; Lepidoptera; Noctuidae
Exons: 2
Source: RefSeq, a predicted model, not a curated record